RNAcentral lists this ribosomal RNA (540 nucleotides) under Alternaria sp. LHB1. RNAcentral describes it as "eukaryotic LSU rRNA". The stretch from base 197 to 350 matches the Rfam family "5.8S ribosomal RNA". The record is from RNAcentral. Lineage: Eukaryota; Fungi; Ascomycota; Dothideomycetes; Pleosporales; Pleosporaceae.
UUCCGUAAGGGUGCCUGCGGAGGGAUCAUUACACAAAUAUGAAGGCGGGCUGGAACCUCUCGGGGUUACAGCCUUGCUGAAUUAUUCACCCUUGUCUUUUGCGUACUUCUUGUUUCCUUGGUGGGUUCGCCCACCACUAGGACAAACAUAAACCUUUUGUAAUUGCAAUCAGCGUCAGUAACAAAUUAAUAAUUACAACUUUCAACAACGGAUCUCUUGGUUCUGGCAUCGAUGAAGAACGCAGCGAAAUGCGAUAAGUAGUGUGAAUUGCAGAAUUCAGUGAAUCAUCGAAUCUUUGAACGCACAUUGCGCCCUUUGGUAUUCCAAAGGGCAUGCCUGUUCGAGCGUCAUUUGUACCCUCAAGCUUUGCUUGGUGUUGGGCGUCUUGUCUCUAGCUUUGCUGGAGACUCGCCUUAAAGUAAUUGGCAGCCGGCCUACUGGUUUCGGAGCGCAGCACAAGUCGCACUCUCUAUCAGCAAAGGUCUAGCAUCCAUUAAGCCUUUUUUCAACUUUUGACCUCGGAUCAGUAGGAUGCCCGGG